This 502-nucleotide ribosomal RNA is filed under the name uncultured bacterium. RNAcentral's name for it is "bacterial SSU rRNA". It matches the Rfam family "Bacterial small subunit ribosomal RNA", at positions 8 to 518 of the family's 1533-position model. The record is from RNAcentral.
AGAGUUUGAUCAUGGCUCAGGAUAAACGCUGGCGGCGCACAUAAGACAUGCAAGUCGAACGAACUUAACCUUAGUUACUAAUGGAGCGGUUAGUGGCGGACUGGUGAGUAACACGUAAGCAACCUGCCUAUCAGAGGGGAACAACAGUUAGAAAUGACUGCUAAUACCGCAUAUGCCUUGAGUAUCGCAUGGUACAAGAGGGAAAGGAGCAAUCCGCUGAUAGAUGGGCUUGCGUCUGAUUAGAUAGUUGGUGGGGUAACGGCCUACCAAGUCGACGAUCAGUAGCCGGACUGAGAGGUUGAACGGCUACAUUGGGACUGAGAUACGGCCCAGACUCCUACGGGAGGCAGCAGUCGGGAAUAUUGCGCAAUGGAGGAAACUCUGAACCGCAGUGACGCCGCGUGCAGGAAGAAGGUUUUCGGAUUGUAAACUGCUUUAGACAGGGAAGAACAAGGACAGUACCUGUAGAAUAAGCUCCGGCUAACUACGUGCCAGCCGCCGC